GGGCAUACGCCCUGGUUAUGUUUGCGGA
This 28-nucleotide non-coding RNA is filed under the name Cricetulus griseus (Chinese hamster). Lineage: Eukaryota; Metazoa; Chordata; Mammalia; Rodentia; Cricetidae. The record is from RNAcentral.